AGAGUUUGAUCCUGGCUCAGGAUGAACGCUGGCGGCGUGCCUAAUACAUGCAAGUCGAGCGAACCACUUCGGUGGUGAGCGGCGAACGGGUGAGUAACACGUAGGUGAUCUGCCCAUCAGACGGGGACAACGAUUGGAAACGAUCGCUAAUACCGGAUAGGACGAAAGUUUAAAGGUGCUUUGGCACCACUGAUGGAUGAGCCUGCGGCGCAUUAGCUAGUUGGUAGGGUAAAGGCCUACCAAGGCGACGAUGCGUAGCCGACCUGAGAGGGUGAACGGCCACACUGGGACUGAGACACGGCCCAGACUCCUACGGGAGGCAGCAGUAGGGAAUCUUCGGCAAUGGGCGAAAGCCUGACCGAGCAACGCCGCGUGAAUGAUGAAGGCCUUCGGGUUGUAAAAUUCUGUUAUAAGGGAAGAAUGACUCUAGUAGGAAAUGGCUAGAGUGUGACGGUACCUUAUGAGAAAGCCACGGCUAACUACGUGCCAGCAGCCGCGGUAAUACGUAGGUGGCGAGCGUUAUCCGGAAUUAUUGGGCGUAAAGAGCGCGCAGGUGGUUGAUUAAGUCUGAUGUGAAAGCCCACGGCUUAACCGUGGAGGGUCAUUGGAAACUGGUCAACUUGAGUGCAGAAGAGGGAAGUGGAAUUCCAUGUGUAGCGGUGAAAUGCGUAGAGAUAUGGAGGAACACCAGUGGCGAAGGCGGCUUCCUGGUCUGUAACUGACACUGAGGCGCGAAAGCGUGGGGAGCAAACAGGAUUAGAUACCCUGGUAGUCC
RNAcentral lists this ribosomal RNA (775 nucleotides) under uncultured bacterium. RNAcentral describes it as "bacterial SSU rRNA". It matches the Rfam family "Bacterial small subunit ribosomal RNA", at positions 8 to 796 of the family's 1533-position model. The record is from RNAcentral.